RNAcentral lists this long non-coding RNA (1772 nucleotides) under Equus asinus (donkey). RNAcentral's name for it is "lncRNA (ENSEASG00005035076.1)". Lineage: Eukaryota; Metazoa; Chordata; Mammalia; Perissodactyla; Equidae. The record is from RNAcentral.
UUUUCCUUGUCUCUGCCUCCCUAGGAUUCUAAACUGUCACCCCAGCCCAUUAUCAUUCUUUAACACCUUAUUCAAAGUCUAACUGUUUUCUCCUUAGUCACAGCUUGUUGUCUUCUUCGUCCUCCUGCUGCUGUUUCAUGAGAUAUAAACGCAGCCGUGGAUCCCUCCUCUUCAAGCUAAUAGGAAGCCCUAGCAAAAGAUCUGAAGGAGAGAAGUGAGUGAAGUCAGCGUAUUCAUUCUUCUGGGUCCUUCCACUUCAAGGCUGCCUCCGACUGAUUGCGUCCCUAACCAAAGAGGAACAGGUGUUUUUUCUUCACACUUAAGAAGACUGAUUAAAGCAUCCAAGCAGGAACAGGGAGAAAACACAGAAUCCCUUGGGAUUGAUCAAGGGUCUGUGUAAUUACCUUAGGGACUCAUGUGACUGAUGUUUAUGUGGCAUAUAUAUAUAUAUAUUCGAGACUUUUUAAAGGGAUGCAGACUGCUACUUGCGAUAUAAAAGUCAUGAAAAAUUGUUGAGUUAAUGAGAGAGAGAUAAAUUGUAAACCAUGAGAUGGUGAUGGUGAGUAAAGAAUUUAGAAGGCUACUAAGAAUGUGACAUGUCAAGGAUCUCCCCAAGCUGAGCACACAUAUCUCACUGGCUUCCCUCUAUGUACUAGCUGUGUGAACUUGGACAACUUCCAUGAUCCUUAUAUAGCUCCCAGUUUCCUCAGGUGAAAAAUAUGCAAAAGGAGAUUAAAUAGGACUGUCGUGAGAAGUAAAUGAGUUAACCCAUAUUAACAACCUAGGCUCACGCCUGGCACAUGGUAAGUGCUUAGAAAAUGCUACCUAUUAUCUCCACCCAAAUUCCCUUCCCCAGAGUCACCAAAUAAAAAACAAGUGAUCUAAAUUAUAAAUCCAGUCAUUCUAUUCUAGGGAUUUAGUCACUGGAAAAUGUCCAUUUUGUUCAGUAAAGUUUGUGUGUUGUGCUGUUCAGAAAAUUUGCAUAGAAUACAUAGCACUCUAUGUUCCUUCUGGUUUUCAACCACAGUCUUUCAGGUUUCAGGAAAUACAGCAUGGCAUUGAUGAGAGAAAUAAAAUCCGUGUUCAAAUUGGGAAACAUUUGGCAGAUGAAGAGACUUUUGAAGUCUUUUGUAGUGUCAGCACGCAUUACCUAUUUUGGAUUUAAUUCAGACUUCAACAAUUUAAUGUUCUUAGAAGCGGUCUUCUUAAUGUCCACAUUCAGAGAUGUUAUUUCAUAAACAAAACUCUCAGCCUUGUAGAGUAUCAGAAUACGCCACCCCAAACUAUGCUACUUUGAUGUAAGGAUUAUUUUGAGCUGAAGGAAAUUGAAGAGAAGCAGAGGCAAGAAGACCUCUCUGCCUUCCCUCUAUUUGCCUAAAAGCAAGACAGAAAUUUGCAAAUUUGUCCCCCUCUCGUCUCUACCAGGAAGGACAGAAGUUAAUUACUGGAGACAAUUUCAGACCUUUAUGAACCUGGAGACAGCACCAGAGGAAUCUCCAUGGCAAACCUUGAUAAAGGCAGCCCUCAUCUACCAUUAGUUUUCCUUUUCCGUAUAUUUGCCUUCCUACAAUUUGCCACCCUAGAAACUUGAAGUCCUUUUCCUGUGUCUUCUCACUUCUCUAAGAAUUUAUUGUUCUUUUGUCAAGAUGUUAUUCAGCCCAAGUUCUAACCAUCCCUUGGAGUUACUCCGUGUCUGGGUAUUCUCGUGUGUGUGCACAACACACCUGCUAAUAAACUGCUGUCUGCUUUUCUCCUGUUAAUCUGUCUUUGGU